This 406-nucleotide ribosomal RNA is filed under the name uncultured bacterium. RNAcentral describes it as "partial 16S ribosomal RNA". It matches the Rfam family "Bacterial small subunit ribosomal RNA", at positions 29 to 526 of the family's 1533-position model. The record is from RNAcentral.
AUUGAACGCUGGCGGCAGGCCUAACACAUGCAAGUCGAGCGAGAGGCGGACGGGGGAGUAAUGUGUGGGAAAAUGCCUGUGGGGGGGGGAUAAAUACUGGAAAAAGGAGCUAAAAUCGCAUACGAUCAGAGGUGUCCAGAUGGGGGUGGAGAGUAGGUGGGGUAACGGCUCACCUAGGCGACGCUCCCUAGCUGGUCUGAGAGGAUGACCAGCCACACUGGAACUGAGACACGGUCCAGACUCCUACGGGAGGCAGCAGUGGGGAAUAUUGCACAAUGGGCGCAAGCCUGAUGCAGCCAUGCCGCGUGUGUGAAGAAGGCCUUCGGGUUGUAAAGCACUUUCAGCGGGGAGGCGUUACCCGCAGAAGAAGCACCGGCUAACUCCGUGCCAGCAGCCGCGGUAAUUC